Molecule: long non-coding RNA, 1301 nt
Organism: Anolis carolinensis (green anole)
Lineage: Eukaryota; Metazoa; Chordata; Lepidosauria; Squamata; Anolidae
Exons: 3
Source: RefSeq, a predicted model, not a curated record
AUACCAUGAGAAAGGGAAUACAAAUGUUGUGUCUGAUCAAAUUUUAACACAUUCUUAAAAAAAAAACACAAGAUCUAGAGGUUCAGGUAUUUUAAAACCUUUGAAUUCAAGAUUUCAUACCAUAAGUCAUUUUUCCCUGCAGGAAAUCUUGACCCACAUUCAAACAAGCCCCCAAACAGCACCAAUUAUUAUACAUCAAGUGCAUGGAGAUCUUUGAGUAUGGCUUCAUUCAUCCCUUUGCUAUGCAUACUUGAGCAGAUACAGGAAGGAGAGUUUUGAUUAAAAUUAUGUUAGGGUCUAUUGUGCCUAAAUAAAGGAUACUUUAGUUUCUAUAAUCUCCAAGGAUAUAUAACAAUAGAGAUGGUGAAGCAAUGCUGUGCUGCAGUCUUAUCUCUUUGGGCUUUAUCAGACAAGGCUGGAAUAUCGCAAUUAUCACAGAACAAUAUUGUCUUUGACUUGUAUGUUUCACAUGAUGCCAUGUUUCUCUUGUUCUUAACAUCAAUACUUUUAGGAAAUUUAUAAUGGAAGAAUAAACAUGUAGUUUUAUAUUUUCUCUGCUGUUGAAUGUAUAUAUAUAUAUAUAAAGAGAGAGAGAGAGAGAGAUCCAGACAGCGAGACAGAGAGAGAGGGCGGGGGAGUCUUUUGAAACAAUUAUAAACAAUGAAAAGAGCAGGAGAAAAACAAGGCUUCUUGGAUUGUAAUGGGAGCUGUAGCUCUGCAAAUCAGAAAGCUGCUGUCUUGGAGAGAACUGUCUUCGCUCUGGUUGUAAGUGUUCUAUUAAAAGAAACAACAAAGUAUGAAGUCUUCCUGUAUCUGGUCUCCUUGCUUGCUCCUUAAGGGCUACUCAAACUCUGCCUUUGUUGUAAAAUGAAGCAGUCUACCUCCAUGGGAAAGCAAGAAGAAACAACGUAAACACAGAGCUAAAUUUCACUGGCUUCUUGUAACAUUCUUUCUAUAAUCCAAGAUGCUAUUAUUAUCUCAUAAAGCUAUAAUGUUGAAACAUAGGCCUGGAAAAAUAUUUAAAAUAUCCAGAUGCCUAUUUUGUAUUGUUAUGAUUUUUUCCCCUAGCAGUAGUUAUCUCCCCCAGGAGAAGCCUUCCAGCACUGCUAUGAGCAUUGGAAACAACACCUCCGUCGCUGUGUAGCUGCCCAAGAGAACUACUUUGAAAGGAAUAAACUUGAUUUGGACACAGAAUAAAAUUCACGGUUAAAAGAAAAUCAGUCUCAUUACUUUUCUAUUGUAUCUUGCAUCUCCAUAUUAGGCCUCUUUUAAAAAUGUACAGUAAUUGUGACAGUGUGAAA